CCUACGGGAGGCAGCAGUGAGGAAUAUUGGUCAAUGGGCGCGAGCCUGAACCAGCCAAGUAGCGUGAAGGAUGACUGCCCUACGGGUUGUAAACCUCUUUUAUCAAGGAAUAAAGUGAGGCACGGGUCCCUCUGUGAAUGUACCUGAUGAAUAAGCAUCGGCUAACUCCGUGCCAGCAGCCGCGGUAAUACGGAGGAUGCGAGCGUUAUCCGGAUUUAUUGGGUUUAAAGGGAGCGUAGGUGGGUGCUCAAGUCAGUUGUGAAAGUUGGGGGCUCAACCGUAGAAUCGCAGUUGAUACUGGGAGCCUUGAGUGCGCGAAGGGUAGGCGGAAUUCGUGGUGUAGCGGUGAAAUGCAUAGAUAUCACGAAGAACUCCGAUUGCGAAGGCAGCCUACU
RNAcentral lists this ribosomal RNA (395 nucleotides) under uncultured bacterium. RNAcentral describes it as "partial 16S ribosomal RNA". It matches the Rfam family "Bacterial small subunit ribosomal RNA", at positions 338 to 730 of the family's 1533-position model. The record is from RNAcentral.